AGUGAACGCUGGCGGUAGGCCUAACACAUGCAAGUCGAACGGCAGCACAGAGGAGCUUGCUCCUUGGGUGGCGAGUGGCGGACGGGUGAGGAAUACAUCGGAAUCUACUCUGUCGUGGGGGAUAACGUAGGGAAACUUACGCUAAUACCGCAUACGACCUACGGGUGAAAGCAGGGGAUCUUCGGACCUUGCGCGAUUGAAUGAGCCGAUGUCGGAUUAGCUAGUUGGCGGGGUAAAGGCCCACCAAGGCGACGAUCCGUAGCUGGUCUGAGAGGAGGAUCAGCCACACUGGAACUGGGACACGGUCCAGACUCCUACGGGAGGCAGCAGUGGGGAAUAUUGGACAAUGGGCGCAAGCCUGAUCCAGCCAUACCGCGUGGGUGAAGAAGGCCUUCGGGUUGUAAAGCCCUUUUGUUGGGAAAGAAAUCCAUCUGGUUAAUACCCGGGUGGGAUGACGGUACCCAAAGAAUAAGCACCGGCUAACUUCGUGCAAGCCGCCGCCGUAA
RNAcentral lists this ribosomal RNA (506 nucleotides) under uncultured bacterium. RNAcentral's name for it is "partial 16S ribosomal RNA". It matches the Rfam family "Bacterial small subunit ribosomal RNA", at positions 29 to 523 of the family's 1533-position model. The record is from RNAcentral.